CCUACGGGAGACAGCAGUGGGGAAUAUUGGGCAAUGGGCGCAAGCCUGACCCAGCAACGCCGCGUGAAGGAAGAAGGCUUUCGGGUUGUAAACUUCUUUUAAGAGGGAAGAGCAGCAGACGGUACCUCUUGAAUCAGCCACGGCUAACUACGUGCCAGCAGCCGCGGUAAUACGGAGGAUCCGAGCGUUAUCCGGAUUUAUUGGGUUUAAAGGGUGCGUAGGCGGUCAGGUAAGUUAGAGGUGAAAGCUCGAUGCUCAACAUCGAAACUGCCUCUGAUACUGUCUGACUAGAGUGUAGUUGCGGAAGGCGGAAUGUGUGGUGUAGCGGUGAAAUGCUUAGAUAUCACACAGAACACCGAUUGCGAAGGCAGCAUGCCAAGCUAUGACUGACGCUGAGGCACGAAAGCGUGGGGAGCGAACAGGAUUAGAUACCCUUGUAGUC
This 442-nucleotide ribosomal RNA is filed under the name uncultured bacterium. RNAcentral's name for it is "partial 16S ribosomal RNA". It matches the Rfam family "Bacterial small subunit ribosomal RNA", at positions 338 to 795 of the family's 1533-position model. The record is from RNAcentral.